Molecule: non-coding RNA, 211 nt
Organism: Pelobates cultripes (western spadefoot toad)
Lineage: Eukaryota; Metazoa; Chordata; Amphibia; Anura; Pelobatidae
Source: the annotation of a GenBank genome assembly
CUUUAUUCGCAUUCAUUCCAAGCAAUAAUAUUUCAUUUUUAAAUAUUUUUUUUUCCCCCUUGUUUCCAGGUCUAUUUGACGAUGGCUGAAAAGGUCCUAGUAACGGGUGGUGCAGGGUACAUUGGGAGUCACUGUGUCCUGGAAAUGCUGGAGGCUGGAUACUAUCCAAUAGUAAUCGAUAACUUUCACAAUGCAGUCAGGGGUGAGUGUG